This 425-nucleotide ribosomal RNA is filed under the name uncultured bacterium. RNAcentral's name for it is "partial 16S ribosomal RNA". It matches the Rfam family "Bacterial small subunit ribosomal RNA", at positions 354 to 796 of the family's 1533-position model. The record is from RNAcentral.
GUGGGGAAUAUUGGACAAUGGGCGAAAGCCUGAUCCAGCCAUGCCGCGUGAGUGAUGAAGGCCUUAGGGUUGUAAAGCUCUUUCAGUAGGGAAGAUAAUGACGGUACCUACAGAAGAAGCCCCGGCUAACUUCGUGCCAGCAGCCGCGGUAAUACGAAGGGGGCUAGCGUUGUUCGGAUUUACUGGGCGUAAAGCGCACGUAGGCGGAUUGGUCAGUUAGAGGUGAAAUCCUGGAGCUCAACUCCAGAACUGCCUUUAAUACUGCCAGUCUAGAGUACAGAAGAGGUGAGUGGAACUCCUAGUGUAGAGGUGGAAUUCGUAGAUAUUAGGAAGAACACCAGUGGCGAAGGCGGCUCACUGGUCUGGUACUGACGCUGAGGUGCGAAAGCGUGGGGAGCAAACAGGAUUAGAUACCCGAGUAGUCC